RNAcentral lists this ribosomal RNA (253 nucleotides) under uncultured bacterium. RNAcentral describes it as "partial 16S ribosomal RNA". It matches the Rfam family "Bacterial small subunit ribosomal RNA", at positions 524 to 776 of the family's 1533-position model. The record is from RNAcentral.
UACAGGGGGGGCAAGCGUUGUUCGGAAUUACUGGGCGUAAAGGGCUCGUAGGUGGUCAACUAAGUCAGACGUGAAAUCCCCAGGCUCAACUUGGGAACUGCGUCUGAUACUGGAUGGCUUGAAUUCGGGAGAGGGAUGCAGAAUUCCAGGUGUAGCGGUGAAAUGCGUAGAUAUCUGGAGGAAUACCGGUGGCGAAGGCGGCAUCCUGGACCGAGAUUGACACUGAUGAGCGAAAGCUAGGGGAGCAAACGGG